This 253-nucleotide ribosomal RNA is filed under the name uncultured bacterium. RNAcentral's name for it is "partial 16S ribosomal RNA". It matches the Rfam family "Bacterial small subunit ribosomal RNA", at positions 524 to 776 of the family's 1533-position model. The record is from RNAcentral.
UACGUAGGGGGCAAGCGUUGUCCGGAAUCAUUGGGCGUAAAGAGCGUGUAGGCGGUCCGGUAAGUCGGCUGUGAAAGUCCAGGGCUCAACCCUGGGAUGCCGGUCGAUACUGCCGGACUAGAGUUCGGAAGAGGCGAGUGGAAUUCCCGGCGUAGCGGUGAAAUGCGCAGAUAUCGGGAGGAACACCUAUGGCGAAGGCAGCUCGCUGGGACGUUACUGACGCUGAGACGCGAAAGCGUGGGGAGCAAACAGG